GUGGUUGUAGCUCAGUGGUAGAGUGCUUGCCUAGCAUGUGUGAGGUACUGGAUUCGCUCCCAGCAACACA
This 70-nucleotide transfer RNA is filed under the name Marmota monax (woodchuck). Its description in RNAcentral is "tRNA.Ala". The record is from RNAcentral. Lineage: Eukaryota; Metazoa; Chordata; Mammalia; Rodentia; Sciuridae.